GGAUGUGAGGGCAGUGGCUGUGAUAUCUUCAGCCAAUUGAUCACUGUGGUUGAUGUGUCUGAUCUGUCCACAUCCUCCCUCACCUCUCCAUGCACAUCCUUCUUCACAUGGCUUGUCAGCUAAAGAGGAUAACCUCCCUGAUAGGGGAGGGCCAGUCUUUGGUCAGAGUCAAGGAUAUACAAGCAGCUGCAUGCUCCUGAUGGAGCUUCCAAAUACGCUGUCAAGGAGAGCUUCCGAAGCACAGCCUCGUAGCCCACAGAACACACUUUCUGU
RNAcentral lists this small nuclear RNA (273 nucleotides) under Mus caroli (Ryukyu mouse). RNAcentral describes it as "sRNA (MGP_CAROLIEiJ_G0008745.1)". It matches the Rfam family "7SK RNA". From Rfam's summary of the family: 7SK was discovered as an abundant small nuclear RNA in the mid-70s but a possible function has only recently been suggested. Two independent studies have found that 7SK RNA binds the CDK9/cyclin T complex (known as elongation factor P-TEFb). P-TEFb activates transcription by phosphorylating the C-terminal domain of RNA polymerase II. The record is from RNAcentral. Lineage: Eukaryota; Metazoa; Chordata; Mammalia; Rodentia; Muridae.